Molecule: long non-coding RNA, 555 nt
Filed under: Triticum aestivum (bread wheat)
Lineage: Eukaryota; Viridiplantae; Streptophyta; Magnoliopsida; Poales; Poaceae
Description: long non-coding RNA (TAES_LNC010059)
Source: RNAcentral
UUGUUUAGCACAUUCAAAUUAUGAAACAAACAUAGAUCAUAAGUACAUAAAUUGAUGAAACAAAUAUACGCACAAAUUUUCCAUCAUACAACACAGUUUCUCAUUACAUGAUCAAAUGAAACGAAACAUUUCUAAUGCAUCAAGAAAAUAACUAAAAUAAAAUUACAUAGAUAGCCAACACAUUGAUAGAUAGUACGAAAUAAGCCAGAUAGCAUCACAUGCAACUAGUUCGAAGUCCGAGCUCCAAUUGUUCCAAUUAUCUCCGGCUCUAACUCAUCUUCACCAAGUCGAUUGUACUCAAACACAGUCUCCGCAAACUUUUGAAGCACAUCUUCCCAAACAAAAACUUCACAACCAAGGUGCUAAAAUGUAAAAAACAAUUUUUAGAACAUGUCGCAAUCUAGCAAAUAAUACAUAUUGUUAUGAAAGGUAAUAUAAAUGAACUUACCCGUUUCCACCAUAGCUUUUCGUUCAAGCCGUCACUAUUUUCAACCCAUCCGUUCCCGCACCUGUAGAACAUUCGACCAUUGUGUUCUCCACCUAAACACUUCCUAG